Molecule: unclassified non-coding RNA, 237 nt
Filed under: fungal sp.
Lineage: Eukaryota; Fungi
Description: partial internal transcribed spacer region
Rfam family: Eukaryotic small subunit ribosomal RNA (bases 1-46)
Source: RNAcentral
AAGUCGUAACAAGGUUUCCGUAGGUGAACCUGCGGAAGGAUCAUUACUAGAACAGUGUCUCACACUGUGCAAUAUCCAUUCUCGUGCACUUAAUCAACCCAUCUCAGGUAGAGGUAACUCUUUAAUGGUUACCAUCUGGUAAUCGCCUGGGACUAUCUUUUUCUAUUUGCAUUUAAGCAGCUUUGAAUGAAGGUGAUUAUACACUAGAUACUAUCAGCAAUGGAUCUCUAGGUUCCU